AGUUGUUGCGGUUAAAAAGCUCGUAGUCGAAUCUGUGUCCCGCGCCGCCGGUUCAUCGUCCGCGGUGUUAACUGGCGUGCCGCGGGACGUCCUGCCGGUGGGCUUAGCUCGCAAGGGCGGCCCAACUCAAUCCCGCCGCGGUGCUCUUCACUGAGUGUCGAGGUGGGCCGGCACGUUUACUUUGAACAAAUUAGAGUGCUUAAAGCAGGCUAAAACUUCGCCUGAAUACUGUGUGCAUGGAAUAAUGGAAUAGGACCUCGGUUCUAUUUUGUUGGUUUUCGGAACCCCGAGGUAAUGAUUAAUAGGAACGGAUGGGGGCAUUCCUAUUGCGACGUUAGAGG
RNAcentral lists this ribosomal RNA (341 nucleotides) under Desmocerus californicus californicus. Its description in RNAcentral is "SSU rRNA". It matches the Rfam family "Eukaryotic small subunit ribosomal RNA", at positions 608 to 911 of the family's 1831-position model. Lineage: Eukaryota; Metazoa; Arthropoda; Insecta; Coleoptera; Cerambycidae. The record is from RNAcentral.